Molecule: ribosomal RNA, 207 nt
Filed under: uncultured bacterium
Lineage: Bacteria
Description: partial 16S ribosomal RNA
Rfam family: Bacterial small subunit ribosomal RNA
Source: RNAcentral
CGCGUAGGCGGCGGGUCAAGUCGAGUGUGAAAGCCCCGGGCUCAACCUGGGAAUUGCGCUCGAGACUGGUCUGCUUGAGUUCGGGAGAGGAGAGUGGAAUUCCCAGUGUAGAGGUGAAAUUCGUAGAUAUUGGGAAGAACACCGGUGGCGAAGGCGGCUCUCUGGACCGAUACUGACGCUGAGGCGCGAAAGCGUGGGGAGCAAACA